CACGCAGGUGCUGCCCAGUGCUGAGACUGAUGACGUCAAGCCACCUGUCACUAAGGACACCAGGAGGGGCUGCGCUGGGGAUGGACUGGGGCUGCUUUUGAAACCUCUGUGCUGCCCUGCACGGAGCUGGGCUCCUGGGU
Molecule: long non-coding RNA, 140 nt
Filed under: Fukomys damarensis (Damara mole-rat)
Lineage: Eukaryota; Metazoa; Chordata; Mammalia; Rodentia; Bathyergidae
Description: lncRNA (ENSFDAG00000028173.1)
Source: RNAcentral